This 253-nucleotide ribosomal RNA is filed under the name uncultured bacterium. RNAcentral's name for it is "partial 16S ribosomal RNA". It matches the Rfam family "Bacterial small subunit ribosomal RNA", at positions 524 to 776 of the family's 1533-position model. The record is from RNAcentral.
UACGUAGGGGGCAAGCGUUGUCCGGAUUUAUUGGGCGUAAAGAGCGUGUAGGCGGCUUUACAGGUCCGUUGUGAAAACUCGAGGCUCAACCUCGAGACGCCGGUGGAAACCGUAAAGCUAGAGUCCGGAAGAGGAGAGUGGAAUUCCUGGUGUAGCGGUGAAAUGCGUAGAUAUCUGGAGGAACACCGGUGGCGAAGGCGGCAUCCUGGACCAAUUCUGACGCUGAGGAGCGAAAGCCAGGGGAGCAAACGGG